AGUGAACGCUGGCGGUAGGCCUAACACAUGCAAGUCGAACGGCAGCACAGUAAGAGCUUGCUCUUACGGGUGGCGAGUGGCGGACGGGUGCGGAAUACAUCGGAAUCUACUUUUUCGUGGGGGAUAACGUAGGGAAACUUACGCUAAUACCGCAUACGACCUACGGGUGAAAGCAGGGGAUCUUCGGACCUUGCGCGAUUGAAUGAGCCGAUGUCGGAUUAGCUAGUUGGCGGGGUAAAGGCCCACCAAGGCGACGAUCCGUAGCUGGUCUGAGAGGAUGAUCAGCCACACUGGAACUGAGACACGGUCCAGACUCCUACGGGAGGCAGCAGUGGGGAAUAUUGGACAAUGGGCGCAAGCCUGAUCCAGCCAUGCCGCGUGGGUGAAGAAGGCCUUCGGAUUGUAAAGCCCUUUUGUUGGGAAAGAAAAGCAGCAGGUUAAUACCCCGCUGUUCUGACGGUACCAAAAGAAUAAGCACCGGCUAACUUCGUG
Molecule: ribosomal RNA, 492 nt
Filed under: uncultured bacterium
Lineage: Bacteria
Description: partial 16S ribosomal RNA
Rfam family: Bacterial small subunit ribosomal RNA
Source: RNAcentral